CAAUGAAAGAAGCAUGGUAAUGUGCACAUAAAUUCAUUUUGGUCUCUAGGCCUGCCCUCUCUGAUGCAAUUUGGCUUUGAUUUAAGGGUAUGGUUCUACAACAAAAUG
Small nucleolar RNA from Rhododendron vialii, 108 nucleotides. RefSeq annotates it as small nucleolar RNA snoR100. NCBI's taxonomy places the organism in Eukaryota, Viridiplantae, Streptophyta, Magnoliopsida, Ericales, Ericaceae. The transcript has a single exon. The record is from RefSeq and is a predicted model, not a curated record.